RNAcentral lists this transfer RNA (72 nucleotides) under Clathrus columnatus. Its description in RNAcentral is "tRNA-Phe". It matches the Rfam family "tRNA". Rfam says of the family: Transfer RNA (tRNA) molecules are approximately 80 nucleotides in length. Their secondary structure includes four short double-helical elements and three loops (D, anti-codon, and T loops). The record is from RNAcentral. Lineage: Eukaryota; Fungi; Basidiomycota; Agaricomycetes; Phallales; Clathraceae.
GUUUCGGUUGCUUAAUGGUUAAAGCCCUGUUCUGAAGAAGCAGUGAUGGUAGUUCAAUUCUAUCCCGAGACA